This 336-nucleotide unclassified non-coding RNA is filed under the name soil metagenome. RNAcentral describes it as "partial contains 5.8S ribosomal RNA, internal transcribed spacer 2, and large subunit ribosomal RNA". The stretch from base 1 to 120 matches the Rfam family "5.8S ribosomal RNA", at positions 35 to 154 of the family's 154-position model. The record is from RNAcentral.
GAUGAAGAACGCAGCGAAAUGCGAUAAGUAAUGUGAAUUGCAGAAUUCAGUGAAUCAUCGAAUCUUUGAACGCACAUUGCGCCCGCCAGUAUUCUGGCGGGCAUGCCUAUUCGAGCGUCAUUUCAACCAUCAAGCCCCCGGCUUGUGUUGGGGACCUGCGGCUGCCGCAGGCCCUGAAAAGCAGUGGCGGGCUCGCUGUCACACCGAGCGUAGUAGCAUACAUCUCGCUCUGGGCGUGCUGCGGGUUCCGGCCGUUAAACCACCUUCAUAACCCAAGGUUGACCUCGGAUCAGGUAGGGAUACCCGCUGAACUUAAGCAUAUCAAUAAGCGGAGGA